RNAcentral lists this unclassified non-coding RNA (231 nucleotides) under plant metagenome. Its description in RNAcentral is "partial contains small subunit ribosomal RNA, internal transcribed spacer 1, and 5.8S ribosomal RNA". The stretch from base 183 to 231 matches the Rfam family "5.8S ribosomal RNA", at positions 1 to 49 of the family's 154-position model. The record is from RNAcentral.
UUUCCGUAGGUGAACCUGCGGAAGGAUCAUUCAUAAUAAAGUGUUUUAUGGCACUUUUUAAAAAUCCAUAUCCACCUUGUGUGCAAUGUUAGAUCUCGUCAAUCUUGGCGAGAUUUUUAUACAUCAACUCAUUCUUUAACUAAUUUGUCUGAAAAAUAUUAUGAAUACUUAAUUCAAAAUACAACUUUCAACAACGGAUCUCUUGGCUCUCGCAUCGAUGAAGAGCGCAGC